GAUGAACGCUGGCGGCGUGCCUAAUACAUGCAAGUCGAGCGAACAGACGAGGAGCUUGCUCCUCUGACGUUAGCGGCGGACGGGUGAGUAACACGUGGAUAACCUACCUAUAAGACUGGGAUAACUUCGGGAAACCGGAGCUAAUACCGGAUAAUAUAUUGAACCGCAUGGUUCAAUAGUGAAAGACGGUUUUGCUGUCACUUAUAGAUGGAUCCGCGCCGCAUUAGCUAGUUGGUAAGGUAACGGCUUACCAAGGCAACGAUGCGUAGCCGACCUGAGAGGGUGAUAGGCCACACUGGAACUGAGACACGGUCAAGACUCCUACGGGAGGCAGCAGUAGGGAAUCUUCCGCAAUGGGCGAAAGCAUGACGGAGCAACGCCGCGUGAGUGAUGAAGGUCUUCGGAUCGUAAAAAUCUGUUAUUAGGGAAGAACAAAUGUGUAAGUAACUAUGCACGUCUUGACGGUACCUAAUCAGAAAGCCACGGCUAACUACGUG
Molecule: ribosomal RNA, 497 nt
Filed under: uncultured bacterium
Lineage: Bacteria
Description: partial 16S ribosomal RNA
Rfam family: Bacterial small subunit ribosomal RNA
Source: RNAcentral